GACGAACGCUGGCGGCGUGCUUAACACAUGCAAGUCGAGCGGUAAGGCCCUUUCGGGGGUACACGAGCGGCGAACGGGUGAGUAACACGUGGGUGACCUGCCCUCAGCUCUGGGAUAAGCCUGGGAAACCGGGUCUAAUACUGGAUAUGACUCCAUGACGCAUGUUGUGGGGUGGAAAGCCUUGUGCGGCUGAGGAGUGGGCCCGCGGCCUAUCAGCUUGGUUGGUGGGGUGAGNGGCCUACCAAGGCGACGACGGGUAGCCGGCCUGAGAGGGCGACCGGCCACACUGGGACUGGAGACACGGGCCCAGACUCCUACGGGAGGCAGCAGUGGGGAAUCUUGCGCAAUGGGCGAAAGCCUGACGCAGCGAACG
This 373-nucleotide ribosomal RNA is filed under the name uncultured bacterium. RNAcentral's name for it is "bacterial SSU rRNA". It matches the Rfam family "Bacterial small subunit ribosomal RNA", at positions 28 to 396 of the family's 1533-position model. The record is from RNAcentral.